Molecule: long non-coding RNA, 407 nt
Filed under: Mytilus galloprovincialis (Mediterranean mussel)
Lineage: Eukaryota; Metazoa; Mollusca; Bivalvia; Mytilida; Mytilidae
Source: RNAcentral
CCAAAAUGGCAUGUCCCUAGACCGCCUGUUCAACAUUCAUACUCUAAAAUAUCGUAAAAAAAUGAAGAAAGAAAUGUUUUUUUUACUUUACAUAAGUUCUUUAAUAAUUCAAAAGUAUGUUCAGAGCCAACAUAUUCUAAUAAACACAUUUCAAUAUAGGUUUUUUUAAUUUCAGAAGAUGUGUCCCUCACAAAAUGUCCACUACGAAACGAAGUCAUUAAAAUUUGCCAAUAAACAGUUUUAUAAAAUCAAUGUAAUUUUUGUUUGCAAGAGAUAUAUACAUUAGGGUCUUACAAAAGAAGUGAUGCUUUUAUAACGGCAAUUAAAUUGUUGGUAAGAAAAAUUGAGCACAUCAAAUGGACCAGAGUGAUACCGUAUUUUUGAUAAUGUCCCCUACGAAACGGGUC